Macrobrachium nipponense is the source of this 585-nucleotide long non-coding RNA. RefSeq lists it as uncharacterized. NCBI's taxonomy places the organism in Eukaryota, Metazoa, Arthropoda, Malacostraca, Decapoda, Palaemonidae. The transcript is spliced from 3 exons. The record is from RefSeq and is a predicted model, not a curated record.
CUGAAGGUCGACGAUGAAAGAUGAUUCUUCGGCGGCCCCGCAAUCCGUGCCGAACGUGUUCUACGGUAUCGACGGCGAAAGGAUUCUGUGAAAGAACCGCCUGCAUUGGAGAUCGAGUCUACCGAGUGCCCCGUUUCGAAUAGGAACCACGUCCUAAAGUGAAAAAGCCGACGGUGGACUGUUCGCAACAGACGUGCGGGAGCUUACCAACCUUGUUAGGAAGAUCGUCUUCGCUGUAAUUAACUCUCUAGGAAGAUCGUCUUCGCUAUCGUGUACUCGAGUUCUGAUGAAUGUUUGUUUACCCGCACAGGCCACCGGAAACGGAACCCCAGUAGCUUUGGUUUGCUAGACUCAUCCCCAAAUGACAUUCCAAGUGAUUUUUGUGCAGUACAACUCUUGGCCACAACCAUGGCUUAUUCCUAGUUCCCGGCAUCCAUUUCUGGUAAUGGUGAGGUGGAAACUUUGUAAUGAAGAAAUCUGCCACCAGACAAAAUGUCUUGCUAACCAAAGGGACACACAGUGACUGGUGUAACACGGCUGCAACACGGUAGUUUGGACCAUAGAAAGGAUCACUGAUAGCAGGGC